UCUUUUUCCAGUUUCCUUAUUGUGGUAUCUGUCUACCUUGUGCUUGGCUUCCUAUAUCAGCGUUUUGUCGCUGGAGCAAAGGGAUUUGAGCAAAUACCGAACUUUAACAUGUGGAGAGCAUUUGGAAACUUGCAAGCAGAUGGAUGCAAUUUUAUUUGUCGUUGUGCAGAAGUUAGACGCUCCCCAAGAUACAAGCCUGUAGAAGAUGCCUUAUCUGAUGAUACAGCACCGCCUGAUGAUGAUAGUCUACUACCAAUGUAAAGACAGUUCCAUUCAGUCAUGUAUCGUAGGAAUCUGCAGCACAACUGUGUGUCUAGUAUAGGUAUAUAGUGAUAGUAUACAUAGUAGUUAACAGGACUUUAUUAAGGACGUAAAAAUAUUUUAAAUUCUUAAAUAAAAGUAUGUGUGAUGAGCUCAUGGGUGUAAUGUUUUCCCAUUUCAGAUCAUGUCAUUCUCUAGUGUACCGUUUCUUUCUUUAAUGGUUGUGCAAGUGAAGUCAGACACUACUUAAAAAAAACAACUUAUUCUCGAGAGAAUGAAGCAUGGUCUGAAAACAAUAUGUUCAAGCUAAUAGCACACUGUGACAGUCAUAUACCACCACUACCAGAAUGCUUUGCAUACUUUCUUUUGCCAGUCUUUCAACAUAAAUACAUCUAUUUCAGAAAAGGUUAUAAAUAUUUUGUUGCAUGUUGCUUACUAAGCUAGCUUGAAAUGUUCAAACAGUAAUAAUUAUUCAUAAAUGUAGAGCGCAUGCAGUACAACCAUGAAAUAAAAAGUAACAAAGUUGAUAUUGACAAGUAGUAGCUAUUUAGUGACUAAUAGUAAGUUUCUAUCACUCAACCAGAACAUCAUCGUACAAAGACAAAUACACAAGAGACCAUUUGUGUCUUGUUUAAUAAAUGUUCUGGUUGAGUGCUAGCAACUAUUACUCACUAAUACAGUAGAGUCGUUUUCAUAUGACCNUGAAAGAAUAGGCAAACUAAUAGUUAGUAGUAGACUCUAAACCAAUGAUUUUCUUUUGUUCUUUAUCAACUAUUACAAACUAAAUGGUCUAUUUUCUUUCACGGUCAUAUGAAAAUCACUCUAGCUACAGUGUACUAUUUGUCAGUAUCAACUUUGUUUUUAUUUUAUGGUUUUACUGCAUGCGCUCUAUUAAAUAAUGUAAGCACAGAAGAAAUUAUGCCAGAAAAAUAUGCAGACAAAGUUUAGGAAAAUUUCAUGUUGUUGUGAGUGUUGUUGUGAGCUUUUUGACAGGGUGAUAAAGGGGGGGGGGGGUUAUUACAUUAGAGACCUUUAGAUCUGACGACAAGUAAAAAAACAAGUAUGAGUAUGAGUUUCUAACUUUUCAAGAUUGGCACUGUCAUUUCGUAUUCGUGGUUGUGUACGUAGAUUAAAACUUUAAAUUGUAAAAAAUUGGAAAUCGACUACGAUUUAGUGUUAACUACGUGUACAGGACCAAUUUUAAAACUGGUACUCGUACUUGAUUUCGUACUCGUCGUCAUAUCUAAAGGUCGCUAUUGUUGCUUCUACCACGCGGUGGUUGGCUUAUGUUUGUAAAGCUUUCUAUGUGAUCCCCCCUCCCCACCCCCCAAUGGGCUAAUGAAUGAAAAAUGAAAACCCCCUAAAGUACAUUAAGGAACAUUGGGGACUCGAAGAAAAAUGUUAUGAAGGGACCGCCUACCAUUUUGCUAUUCAAUUUAUGUAACAAUUAUUUGUAGGAGUCUAAAGAUUCUGAUAGUGGUAAUACCUCACGUCCUAUUUGAAAGGACUGAAUGAAUGUGCAUUAAUAAGCCCUUUGCAGCUCAGUAAUCACGUGCUGAUUAAUUCACUGAGAGCAAUUAAUGAAUGAACAUCUUGAUUCCCAUGGGUGAAAUAUACUGGUGAGCAAACAAAAUUUCUACAACCUAAAAGAAUCAAAAUAAAAUUUAAAAAAAUAAUAAAAAAUAAAUAAAUAAAAUUUUUCUCACCAGUUAUACGUUAGUACAGACAUGUGACCAUUACUGCAAGGGACCUAUUUUCCAGUCAAAGUCAGACCUUCUCCACAAAGGGUGAAGAUUACGUCUCCUACCCUCCCUCCCACACAAUGCAUAUCCCCAGUCAUCCCAAGAAAUGUGGUGCAGAAUGCACUUACCCCUCCCCACCCCGCCUACCCCAAGAUAUACAGUCUACACUGAUGUAUUACAGUUUAGUCCUUGGUGGAGAUUGAACUAGGAAUAUGUCUGAAAAUACUUCCUGAAAACACAUCAUUUCUGCCAAAAAGAUUGUUUUUAAUAAAGUAAAAAAAGAGUUAAUGAAAUAAAAGUAAAAAAGACAAUACCAUCCAGCUGAUCUGAGAAAAUCGGACUCAAAAAAGUUUGCCAACUGUGUCACUUUUCCUCAAGCUCUUAUAGACUAUAUGAAAGAGGGUGUGCCUCAGUUUAUCAGUUAUAGGAAGCAACAAUGCUUUCAUUAGAAAGUAUAUCGAAAUUAGUGAUCUUCCAAAAUUCAUUAUAGUAACAAAUGAUUCAAAGCUACAGCUGUUUGAAAUUAGAAAAGUUUGUAUGCAAACCAUGGUCAACCAUGUUUGAUUGACCAUGUUCUAACAUGUUUUAAUCAUGUUUAACCAUGGUUUGACCAUGAUCCUGACGUGGGGGCAACAACCAAGGACCUACCAGCCUUGCUAUCAUGUUUUCAGUACAUUUCAAAUGCUUAUAAAUCUUCAGGGAUUUAAUAUAUGAUAAGACAACAGAACGUUCUGAAAUUGUUAAUAAUUUAGACAUGGUCUUUCUUAUGAAAAUAUAGUUUUGAUAUCAUUAAAUAAUAUUGUUCAUGGUGCUUA
RNAcentral lists this long non-coding RNA (2818 nucleotides) under Actinia tenebrosa (Australian red waratah sea anemone). RNAcentral's name for it is "uncharacterized LOC116287821". The record is from RNAcentral. Lineage: Eukaryota; Metazoa; Cnidaria; Anthozoa; Actiniaria; Actiniidae.